UACGGGGGGUGCAAGCGCUAAUCGGAAUUACUGGGCGUAAAGCGUGCGUAGGUGGUUUGAUAAGUUAUCUGUGAAAUCCCUGGGCUUAACCUAGGAAGGUCAGAUAAUACUGUUAAACUAGAGUAUAGGAGAGGGUAGUGGAAUUUCUAGUGUAGCGGUGAAAUGCGUAGAGAUUGGAAGGAACACCAGUGGCGAAGGCGGCUACCUGGCCUGAUACUGACACUGAGGCAAGAAAGCGUGGGGAGCAAACAGG
This 253-nucleotide ribosomal RNA is filed under the name uncultured bacterium. RNAcentral describes it as "partial 16S ribosomal RNA". It matches the Rfam family "Bacterial small subunit ribosomal RNA", at positions 524 to 776 of the family's 1533-position model. The record is from RNAcentral.